This 480-nucleotide ribosomal RNA is filed under the name Triticum aestivum (bread wheat). RNAcentral describes it as "partial small subunit ribosomal RNA". The record is from RNAcentral. Lineage: Eukaryota; Viridiplantae; Streptophyta; Magnoliopsida; Poales; Poaceae.
ACUACUAGAUGUGGUUGCAAGGCAACACUCAGGUUACAUCUCAAUGAAAAUUCAAAAUGGUAUGUCAAAGUUUUUCGGGAGGAACACAACCAUGCCCUUGUGGAAUCUUGCAGCGAGAAGAAGCACCUGCAUUCACAUCAACAUAUUGACAAGCCAAUCAGAGACUUAAUAAAGAAUCUUCGAGAGAACAACGUAUCACUAACAAGGGUUAAUUCUAUAGUUGCUGGUUUUUAUGGAUCAACAAAGAAAGUUCCAUUCUGUAAGCGGAAGUUACGUACUGUUUGUUCACAGAUUGCUAGUGAAACGCUUCAGGACGACAUAGCUAAAACACUAGAGAACUUCCGUGAUAUGAUAGCAAUGGACGAUAGAUUUGCUUUCUGUGCACAGGUGGAUGAUGACAAUAGGCUAAAGUCACUAAUGUGGACUACUGGAAGGAGUAGAUCAUUAUAUAAUCACUUUGGAGAGUGCAAUAACUUUUGA